RNAcentral lists this long non-coding RNA (469 nucleotides) under Lupinus mutabilis. RNAcentral's name for it is "partial ncRNA". Lineage: Eukaryota; Viridiplantae; Streptophyta; Magnoliopsida; Fabales; Fabaceae. The record is from RNAcentral.
UCAAUGGUGAUUCUUCAAUCGCAAGUUGCGCAUCACAGUGAUGCCGUUUUCAAUAAAAUCAUCCAGUGCGGAUGAUUUUUGUCCAUCAUCACCAACAACAACACCUUUACGCCUUACUACCUCAACUGCAUCAAAUGUUCACCACCAUAAUCAUCACCACAGUCAUCACCGUCAUUCGCAUCUUCAUCAUCGAAGUUCUCCACAGGAUUAUCAUGUAGAUGAUGAUACUUACCCACAUGGUGAUAAAUCCUCUGUUUUUAAUUGUUCCCCGGGGAAAAGCAAGACAACAUCACCGACAACAUCUUCUUCAUCAAAUUCAUCAACAUCCUCAACCAUUGUUGCAACAACAACCGGAUUAGACGAAGAAGACGAAGAAACAAAUAUUGAGAUCAAGAAAAAAUCAACAUCAAGUUCGAAGGCAACAUCAUCUUCCUUGAAAUUAGUAUCAAAAUCAACAGAUCGGAAGAGC